This 442-nucleotide ribosomal RNA is filed under the name uncultured bacterium. RNAcentral describes it as "partial 16S ribosomal RNA". It matches the Rfam family "Bacterial small subunit ribosomal RNA", at positions 338 to 795 of the family's 1533-position model. The record is from RNAcentral.
CCUACGGGAGGCAGCAGUGGGGAAUAUUGGGCAAUGGGCGAAACCCUGACGCAGCAAUGCCGCGUGAGGGAAGAAGGCUUUCGGGUUGUAAACCUCUUUGACAGGGGAAGAACAGAAGCGGGUACCCUGAAAGCAAGCCACGGCUGACUAGGUGCCAGCAGCGGCGGUAAUAGGUAGGGGGCAAGCGUUGUCCGGAUUUACUGGGUGUAAAGGGCGUGUAGCCGGGAAGGCAAGUCAGAGGUGAAACCCGGAGGCUCAACCUCCGAAUUGCAUUUGAAACUGUUUUGCUUGAGUACUGGAGAGGCAGACGGAAUUCCUUGUGUAGCGGUGAAAUGCGUAGAUAUAAGGAGGAACACCAGUGGCGAAGGCGGUCUGCUGGACAGCAACUGACGGUGAGGCUCGAAAGUGUGGGGAGCAAACAGGAUUAGAUACCCGGGUAGUC